RNAcentral lists this long non-coding RNA (6926 nucleotides) under Homo sapiens (human). RNAcentral describes it as "HSALNT0004272". The record is from RNAcentral. Lineage: Eukaryota; Metazoa; Chordata; Mammalia; Primates; Hominidae.
CUUUCUUUGCCCAGGCUGGCCUGGGACCCAAACAAUGGGGCUUCUGUCCCGCCAGGUCUGCCGUCACCUUUUACCUCCCUAUUGUGCAACGCCCUCUCUUCAACAGGUUGGGCCCAGGCCAGAGGUCUCUACCAGCAAAGAGGAUAAAAGAGACUACACCUGGACAAACCCUCCCAGGCCCAGGCCUGAGCCUCACAUGUGGCCCCGGGGAAGGCAUCAGGGACUCCCUUUGCCCUCCCACUGACCUCCCUGCAAACCUCCCCCAAACCAAGGGGCAUCCUCAGCUGGCCAGACCCUGGGGGAAGGGAGAGAGCCGAGGAUCACCGGCACCUGUGGCUGGGUUACCCCUGCCAUGGACCACUGGGUGAUCAAGAAGUCAUUCCAAAAUGUGAAGCGUUCUGAAGAUAUGCACAUAGCGUAAGAACCUGGUGUAAUGUGCUGGUCAAGGCGGUCUCAGAGAGGAGAUGACGUUUGAGCUGACACCUGAGGGAUGAGAAGAAAGCAGCCAUUCCCAGGGCCCAGGGGAGGCAUCCCAGGAAGCCGGAUCAGCAUGAGCAAAAGCCCUGAGGCCUGGCACAAGUUGGUCUGCUUGAGAAGCAGGAGAGAGCCCUGAGCAUCCGGAGUGCAGCAAGCGAGGUGCACAGAGGAGCAGGAAGGGGCUGGGAGAAGGCUGGGGCCGGAUCAUGCAGGACAGGCUGGAGGAAGGGGCUUGAAUUGUCUUCUGACCACUGAGGGGAUAUAAACAUGAGGGCAAAAUCAUCUGAUUUCCAUGUGCAAAGGCCCACUCUGGCUGCUCUAGAGAGAACAGAUGAUUGCAGGGUAAAAGUGGAUUUAGAGAGGUCAGAUGGAGGCUGGGUACGUGCCGUGUAUGGUAGAUAGCAUGCUACCAAAUACACUCACAGGUAGCCCUAUUAUCUCCAUUUCACAGAUGAGCAAGUCAAGAUGCAGAAGGACUCUCUGGCUUGUCCAAGGUCACACGGCUGUUAGGAGCAGAGCAGCGUCCUGGUGCCCAAGCCCUGAGGUCCCCAGCACACUGCCUCUGCAAUGGCCACAACUGUCCAAAGACUAAGCUGACUCUCACACCUGGUAGUGUCUGUGGUCAUUCACUGUGGAUGGAAGUGGAGAAAUGCAGAAAACAGAAACACAGCUUCCCCUUUUCUGUCAUAUUUCUGUAUCGUUGGUGUUUGGAGCCAGUUGAGCACAAAGGGCCCCUGAGUGCUGUUUCCUUGUGAUAUUUGGGGGUUAACAGCUUCCCCUCAUCUCUUAAUUACCUGCCCUCCUUCACUUCAGCUGCACAUUCGUUAAAGAAUGCUCUCCCAGGAGAAGAGCUUGGUGUUAUCACCCACAAACAUCUUAGAAAACUAAUGCUAUCCUUGAGUGCCUGUUUACAGAAACAUUUUUACAUCUCACUUGACAUUUCCAGCAAAUCUUGAUCCUUCCAGCCAGGAAUAUUAAUAUAUAGGUCUUGAAAAGUGCAAGAGGCUCUUCCAUGGCUCCAAGCACAUUUGACACUCUUCCUUUUCUGAUCCCCAAGCAGACAGUGAUGAAACCCCAAUAGCUGGGCGAAUACUCAUCCAACAGGAAGAAUCAGUUUUAAGAGCUGGGUUCUCAGGGUCAAAUACUGUGGUGUGGCCUUUUGGUUGUAAUGAGUUGAAUGGAGGUCUCAAAAAAGAUAUAUCCAUGUUCUAAUCCCCAGAACUUGUGAAUGUGACCUUAUUUGGAAAAAGAGUCCUUUUGGAUGUAAUUAAGUUAAGGAUUUUGAGAUAAGGAGAUCAUCCUGGGUUAUCUGGGUGGACCCUAAAUCUGUUGACAAUGUCCUUAUGAGAGACCCCAGAGGGCACAGACAGGAAAGGAAGAGGCAAUGUGGCCCCAGAGGCUGAGAUCAGAGCUCUGUGGCCACAAUUCGAGGAACACCUGGAGCCACCAGAAGCUGGAGGAGGCAAGGAACAGAUUCUCCCUGAUCCUCUGGAUACAGAGGGAGAAUAGCCUGGCCGACACCUUGAUUUUGGACUUCUGGCCCCCAGAACUGAGAAAAUUAACUUCUGUUGUGUUAAGCAGCCACGUUUGUAGCAGUUCAUCAUAGCAGCCCUGGGAAAGAAAUACAGUGGGCUUCCAGUUCAAGGAGGAUCCACGAGGCCUGAGCUCCAUCUGUCGAUUGGAAUCACCAAAAUCAAGGUUGUGUGCGGGUAACGCCAGCACAAGCAGCUCAUGCUGGCAAAAGCAGACCAAACCGGCUCACGCAACGUCAAGUCAUCUUGAAGUGGUUCACGCACCACAGUGAGUGGUAUUGAUUGUGGUUAAGAGCCAGGUUCAAGGAGGUUUAUCACUCAGUAGCCAGGUAAAGCAGGUUCCAGGCCUGGCUCCACCACUCAACAACCGGGGAAACAGGGGCGGCAAAACUGAAUCCCAGAGAGAAGACUCACUCAGACACAGCUAUCUGAACACUCUUUUCCAGUUCCCCUAGGGCAGCAGAGGAAGCAAGGUGGGGGGAAGCCAGUGGUCAAGGAUUCCAUGCGGAAUGUACCCUAGAAUUAACCCAUGGAGAGAGGGUAAGGGAACGGGCUCAGGCCUGGGAAGAAGUGGGGAGGACAGUGUCCUGUUGACCUAUUCAAAAACAUCCAGUUUUAGUUAAUUUUUAGUUCAUUAGUCACCACUUUUUAUUAGUAUCUCAUGUAUUCUUUCACAGUUUCUUUCUGCAGGUACAAAAAUAAUGAUUUUUUUUCUUUCUUUUUCUUCUUUGAGACAGGGUCUCGCUCUGUUGCCCAGGCUGUAGUACAAUGGUGCAAUCUCGGCUCACUGCAACCUCUGCCUCUGGGUUCAAGCGAUCCUUUGCCUCCGCCUCCUGAGUAGCUGGAAUUACAGGCAUGCACCAUGAUGCUUGGUUAAUUUUUGUAUUUUUAGUAGAGUCAGGGUUUUGCUAUGUUGGCCAGGCUGGGCUCCAACUUCUGGUCUCAAGUGAUCCACCCGCCUCGGGCUCCCAAAGUGCCAGGAUUACAGGCGUGAGCCACUAUGCCUGGCCAAAAGUGGCGAUGUGUUCUUAAUGCCCAUUUUCACAUAAAAGGUAAUAAUCUACCCACACCAUGCUGUACCUUGUUUGUUUUUUGUGUGUUUGUUUGUUUGUUUUUUGACAGAGUCUUGCUCUGUCAGCUAGGCUAGAGUGCAGUGGCACAAUCUCAGCGCGCUGCAACCUCCGCCUCCCGGGUUCAAGCGAUUAUCCUGCCUCAGCCUGCUGGGUAGUUGGAAUUACAGGAGCCUGCCACCAUGCCCAGCUAAUUUUUGUGCUUUUAAUAGAGAUGGGGUUUCACCAUGUUGGCCAGGCUGGUCUCGAACUCCUGACCUCAAGUGAUCCAUCCACCUUGGCCUCCCGAAGUGCUGGGAUUACAGGCGUGACCCACCGCGCCUGGCUCUUGUUUGUUUUUUUAACUAAUCACACAUCUUAGAGACCUUUAUCAGUAAUUAGAGAGCUUCCUGGAUCUUUUAUAUCACUGCAUAAUAAAUAUUCUAUUAUAUAGAUUAGAAUAAUUCAAAUUACCAGUUCCCUAUUGGUGGACAUUUGUUUCUGGUUUGUUUGUUUUUUCUAUUUUUUUUCUUAUCACAAACAGUGCUGCAAUAAGUAAUUGUGCAUAUGCACUGUUUCACAUGUGUGCAGGUAUACCUGCAGGAUAAAUUCCCAAAAAUGAAUUCCUGAUUUAAGAGUAUCUUUUUUUUUUUGAGACAGGGUCUUGAUCUGUUGCCCAGGCUAAAGUGCAGUGGCAUGAUCACGAUGCACUGCAGCCUCAGCCUCCUGGGCUCAAGCGAUCUUCCCACCUCAGCUUCCCAAGUAGCUGGGACUACAGGCAUGUGGCACCACGGCUGGUUAAUAUUCUCAGUGUAACAGAGUUUCAUCACAUUGCCCAGGCUGGUCUUGAACUCCUGGGCUCAAGCAAUCCUCCCACCUCAGCAUCCCAAAGUGCUGGGAUCACAGGCAUGUGCCACCAUGCCUGGCAGGUUGAAAGUACUGUAUGAGUUAUCUAUUGCUGCAUACCAGAUUAUCAUAAACUCAGCAGUUUAAAAAAACACCCAUUGUUUAGCUCACAGUCUCACCUGAACUGGGUGCUGAGUUCAGGGUGAAACCAAGGUGGCGGCCAGGCUUGGUUCUUUUUUGGAAGCUCUGGGGGGAAAAUCUACUUCCAAGGCCAUUCUUGUUGUUGGCAGAAUCUGGAUCCUUGUGGUUGUAGAACUGAGUCUCUGGUUUCUUGCAGGCUUCCAGGAGGGGCCUCCCUGGGCUCCCGGAGGACACCCACAGUCCUCACCAUGCAGCUCCCUCCAACAUCAAGCCAGGAAUGGCCGAACAGAUCUUUCUCAUGCUUCAAAUCUCUGAUGAAUUUCUCUUGCCAGAGAAAGCUUGCCAUUUUCCAAGGGCUCACCCAGUCAGAUCCGUCCAACAAGGGUGAUCUCCCUAACAUUAGGUUAACUGACUUGGAACCUCAGUUAAUCUGCAAAAUCCCUUUUGUCAUAUAAUGGAAUACAAUCAUUUGGUUCACAUGCUCAUCUUAUUCACAGGCCCUACACUCAUACAAGGGCAGGGGACCACAGAAGAGUGAAGGCCAGUGAGGGUCACCUCAGAAUUCUGCCCAACACCGGUGUUUUGUAAUUUGGGUAGAUGUUGCCAUGUUGUCCUCCGUGGGGAUUAUGCAGAGGGAACUCUCCUCCUCCAGCAACAGUACAUGUACCUGCUUUUCCAUGGUGCUGCUUAGAGAAUGUUAUCAAACCUUUGGAUUUCUGCCAGUCUGAUAGGAGAAAAAUGGAAUCUCAAUUGUAUUUUAAAAUUGUAAUUAUCGCCUUAUGAAUAAGGCUGAGCAUUUCCUCAAAAGCAUAAGAGCCAUUUAUAUACUUUUUUCUUUAUGGCUUCUGGUUUUGAGGCAUAGAAAGGUCUUUCUAGCUCUAAAGUUAAUCAGAAAUUCUCUGUUUUCUUUUUGCUUUUUUUAAAAUUUUACUUUAAGUCCUUGGAUACAUGUGCUGAACGUGCAGGUUUGUUACAUAGGUAUACAUGGGCCAUGGUGGUUUGCUGCACCUAUCAACCCGUCAUCUAGGUUUUAAGCUCCACAUGCAUUAGGUAUUUGUCCUAAUGCUCUUCCUCCUCUUUCCCCAUGCCCCCAACAGGCCCCGGUGUGUGAUGUUCCCCUCCCUGUGUCCAUGUGUUCUCAUUGUUUAGCUCCCACUUAUGAGUGAGAACAUGCAGUGUUUGGUUUUCUGUUCCUGUGUUAGUUUGCUGAGGAUGAUGGUUUUCAGCUUCAUCCAGGUCCCUGCAAAGGACAUGAACUCAUUCUUUUUUAUGGCUGCAUAGUAUUCCAAGUUGCAUAUGUGCCACAUUUUCUUUAUCCAGUGUAUCAUUGAUGGGCUUUUGGGUUGCUUCCAAGUCUUUGCUAUCGUAAGUAGUGCUGCAAUAAACAAAUGUAUGCAUGUGUCUUUAUAGUAGAAUGAUUUAUAAUCCUUUGGGUAUAUACCCAGUAAUGGGAUUGCUGGGUCAAAUGGUAUUUCUAGUUCUAGAUCCUCGAGGAGUCGCCACACUGUCUUCCACAAUGGUUGAGCUAAUUUACACUCCCACCAACAGUGUAAACGUGUUCCUAUUUCUCCACAUCCUCACCAGCAUUUGUUAUUUCCAGACUUUUUAAUGAUUGCCAUUCUAACUGGCAUGAGAUGGUAUCUCCUUGUGGUUUUGAUUUGCAUUUCUCAGCUCAUUGCAACCUCUGCCUCCCAGGUUCAAGCAAUUCUCCUGCCUCAGCCUCCAGAGUAGCUGGGAUUACAGGGGCACGCCACCAAGCCCAGCUAAUUUUUGUAUUUUUAGCAGAAACAGGGCUUCACCAUGUUGGCCAGUCUGGUCUCAAACUCCUGAUCUCAAGUGAUCCAUCCACCUCAGCCUCCCAAAGUGCUGGGAUUAUAGGCGUGAGCCACCACGGCUGGCCAUUCUCCUGUGUUUUCUUCUGGGGCUUUUAUACUUUCAUUUUUUAAAAUCCAUAGUUUCUUGGAGCUGGAGGUGUCCCUUGUCAUUUUCUCAUCAGUGAGUGCAAAGCAGGAUCCCAAAAGGAUUGGAGUCCAGAGUAGAGAAAGGAGCUGCCGCGGUGGAGUCUGUUCAGUGCAGGCUCUGAUCUCCUUCAGCCCUGCCAGGAAUCCCAGCCAGCAGAUCUUCUUCCAGCUUCCCUUUCUCCAGCACUCUUGAUCUUCUGGGCUGGCACAGGGUCCAGGGUUGAUGGGGAUCCUAGCUGCCUGAGGAGCUUCCAGUCUGGAGGGUGAUACAAGCACAUGGCCAGACCUGAAUUCAAGCCAUGAGAGAGAUUCAGAACCUGGGCUGGGAGCGCAGGGGAGGGAGCGGGGUGCUGAUGGGGGUGGAUGGGAGGCUCCAGAGAGGAGGUGGCGUCUGAACUGAACCUUAAGAAUGAGGGGAAAUGUAAUGGCAGCGAUGAGAAAGGGGAGGCACUUCAGUGCAGAGAACAGCAAGAGCAAAGACAAGGAGGUGGAAAAUCAGCCAGAAACCUAGCCUGGAGAGGGUUUAGUGGACCAUGGGUCCUUGAUGGUAGAGACACAACAUGACUUAUCUCUGUGUCCCAUCCUCUGUGCCAGAGGCGGCAUCGACCAGACUUGGACAAAUGAAGCAGAAGGGACAGGGGACUUAGAAUACUAGGCUGCAUCAUUUUCUUUUUACUCUGACAGUGAGAAGCAAAGACCUCCACAAAGAAAGAAGCCCUUGGCUGUGUCAUCAUUUUAGAAUCUGGGCACUCUCUGCACACCACUGCCCCCUCAUGGCUGAUCUAGGAAUUCUCUCUAAAUCCCAGACUGAAGGUGAGGAGGAGGCUCAGUGAGUCUUAGAGAUUUGAAAAGCCGUGAAAUCCUGGUUGGAGAACAUCUGAGUCCAAAGGGCCCUCAGAGACUCUCUGACUUCCUCAUUA